AGUGAACGCUGGCGGUAGGCCUAACACAUGCAAGUCGAACGGCAGCACAGUAAGAGUUUGCUCUUACGGGUGGCGAGUGGCGGACGGGUGAGGAAUACAUCGGAAUCUACUUUUUCGUGGGGGAUAACGUAGGGAAACUUACGCUAAUACCGCAUACGACCUACGGGUGAAAGCAGGGGAUCUUCGGACCUUGCGCGAUUGUAUGAGCCGAUGUCGGAUUAGCUAGUUGGCGGGGUAAAGGCCCACCAAGGCGACGAUCCGUAGCUGGUCUGAGAGGAUGAUCAGCCACACUGGAACUGAGACACGGUCCAGACUCCUACGGGAGGCAGCAGUGGGGAAUAUUGGACAAUGGGCGCAAGCCUGAUCCAGCCAUACCGCGUGUGUGAAGAAGGCCUUCGGGUUGUAAAGCCCUUUUGUUGGGGAAGAAAAGCAGCAGGUUAAUACCCCGCUGUUCUGACGGUACCCAAAGAAUAAGCACCGGCUAACUUCGUG
RNAcentral lists this ribosomal RNA (492 nucleotides) under uncultured bacterium. RNAcentral describes it as "partial 16S ribosomal RNA". It matches the Rfam family "Bacterial small subunit ribosomal RNA", at positions 29 to 507 of the family's 1533-position model. The record is from RNAcentral.